GAGAAAAGUUGAGAGAGAAAGGAGAAUAAGAAAGCUGUAUAUCUGGAGAGAGCUAGCGAAAGCGGCCGCGAGAAAGAGAGGAAGAGAAGACGACGGCGAGAGAGAGAGAGAGAGAGAGAGAGAGGAGAUAGCGAGGUAGAGGCCAGAGCAAGGGCGAAGGGAAGGAGAGGUGCGGGAUUCCACAGCUCCGCUCUCGGAUUGUAUCUUCUUCGAUUAUCUCCCGAGCCUCUGCCCUGCGCCUUCCAUUUGGAUUUCUCUUCGUCGGCAGCGGUUCUGUUCGCGCUUCGGUCGGCGCCCUGGCCGCGACUAGUCGUUCGAAUUUUCCAUUUCGCCGGAUCGACUGUGGCUGGCAGAAGAAUUGUUGUCUUCUGUGCUUCUCCUGCUCCGUUUGUUUGGUCGUUUUUGAGCCGGGGAGACCUCGGUUUGCUGCAUUGGCGUGGUUUCUGAGAGGGGUUUUGAGUUGAUGAAUUGGUAAGGUUGUGUAUGGGACUUGGUUUGUGAGAAAGGCGGGGUUUUGUUUCUUCGGUCUCUUGGUUGGAGGAUUUUAUGCACCUGAUGCGGAACAUUUGGGUGGGCUGAGGUACCUGAGCGAGAGGGGAGAUGGAUGAGAGUGGCGGGUCUUUUGUAGAGGUGAGGAGAAUAUCUCAGGCGCCGGAUCGAGGGAGCGUCUACCACUCGUCACCUGAGAUUAUCACAGGAUCUACUGCCUGGAUUGGAAGAGGCUUUUCAUGUGUUUGUGCUCAAAGAAGAGAAAAUGAUGUUCGUUUGUCAUUUGACCUAACACCCUCACAGGAGGAAUGCUUGCACAGAUUACAAAACAGAAUUGACAUUACCUAUGAUGGAUCCAAACAAGAGCACCAGGAAGCCUUGAGGGGCCUCUGGUACACUGCUUAUCCUGAAGUUGAACUUCGUGAUAUAAUAUCCGAACAGUGGAAGGAAAUGGGAUGGCAGGGAAAGGAUCCUUCUACAGAUUUUAGGGGUGGUGGUUUCAUAUCCUUGGAAAACCUAUUAUUCUUUGCCAGGAAUUAUCCUAAAUCAUUCAACGAUCUUCUCAGAAAGCAGGAUGGUAACAGAGCUCUUUGGGAAUACCCCUUUGCGGUUGCCGGUGUAAAUAUAACAUUCAUGCUUAUACAGAUGCUGGAUCUUCAAGUUGUGAAACCAAGGUCACUUGUUGGAGUUAUUUUUCUGAAGCUACUUUCUGUUUUAGAUCAGCGAAAAUGGUGGCUUAUCAGUAUUGGAAUUCAAUUUCAAACGUUUAUCUCUGCGUCUCAGAGAAUGACCGGGCCUUUGAUAUACUAUACUGCAUAACUUUCAAAUUGAUGGAUCAGCAAUGGCUUGCCAUGCGGGCCUCCUACAUGGAUUUCAAUAUGGUUAUGAAAUCAACACGUCGUCAGCUGGAGCAUGAGUUGCUACUGGAAGAUGUCUGCCGAGUCGAGGAUUUACCUUCCUACAGCCUUCUUACUCGCUGACUAGCACCCUCUCAGUUAACAUUUCUAGUCCCGGAAGCCACAAAACACAUCGAUUCAGCUGUUUCCUUUGUGAUUGCUCCUGCUCAAAUUUGUUAAUGCCUGCUUUUGAUUUUUCUGUGUUAUUCAUUUUGAGAUAGUAAGUUGUCUUUCACGGUCCAUGUUUUCUGGAAUAGUGUUCUCCCAAUAAUUAGUUAUUCUCCACGCAUUCUCAUCAA
Zingiber officinale is the source of this 1684-nucleotide RNA transcript. It is a transcript of the gene named ELMO domain-containing protein A-like, with no coding region annotated. The transcript has 9 exons. The record is from RefSeq and is a predicted model, not a curated record. Lineage: Eukaryota; Viridiplantae; Streptophyta; Magnoliopsida; Zingiberales; Zingiberaceae.